This 448-nucleotide ribosomal RNA is filed under the name uncultured bacterium. RNAcentral's name for it is "bacterial SSU rRNA". It matches the Rfam family "Bacterial small subunit ribosomal RNA", at positions 330 to 793 of the family's 1533-position model. The record is from RNAcentral.
CCCAGACUCCUACGGGAGGCAGCAGUGGGGGAUAUUGCACAAUGGGGGGAACCCUGAUGCAGCGACGCCGCGUGGGUGAAGGAGCGUUUCGGCGCGUAAAGCCCUCUCGGCAGGGAAGAAGGAGGACGGUACCUGACUAAGAAGCCCCGGCUAACUACGUGCCAGCAGCCGCGGUAAUACGUAGGGGGCAAGCGUUAUCCGGAUUUACUGGGUGUAAAGGGGGCGCAGACGGCAGCGCAAGCCAGGAGUGAAAGCCCGGGGCCCAACCCCGGGACUGCUCUUGGAACUGCGCGGCUGGAGUGCAGGAGGGGCAGGCGGAAUUCCUGGUGUAGCGGUGAAAUGCGUAGAUAUCAGGAGGAACACCGGUGGCGAAGGCGGCCUGCUGGACUGCGACUGACGUUGAGGCCCGAAAGCGUGGGGAGCAAACAGGAUUAGAUACCCCUGUAAG